AUUUGUUGGACGCUAGCGGCGGAUGGGUGAGUAACACGUGGGCAAUCUGCCCUAAAGACUGGGAUACCACUUGGAAACAGGUGCUAAUACCGGAUAACAACAUGAAUCGCAUGAUUCAAGUUUGAAAGGCGGCGCAAGCUGUCACUUUAGGAUGAGCCCGCGGCGCAUUAGCUAGUUGGUGGGGUAAAGGCCUACCAAGGCAAUGAUGCGUAGCCGAGUUGAGAGACUGAUCGGCCACAUUGGGACUGAGACACGGCCCAAACUCCUACGGGAGGCAGCAGUAGGGAAUCUUCCACAAUGGACGCAAGUCUGAUGGAGCAACGCCGCGUGAGUGAAGAAGGUCUUCGGAUCGUAAAGCUCUGUUGUUGGUGAAGAAGGAUAGAGGCAGUAACUGGUCUUUAUUUGACGGUAAUCAACCAGAAAGUCACGGCUAACUACGUGCCAGCAGCCGCGGUAAUACGUAGGUGGCAAGCGUUGUCCGGAUUUAUUGGGCGUAAAGCGAGCGCAGGCGGAAUGAUAAGUCUGAUGUGAAAGCCCACGGCUCAACCGUGGAACUGCAUCGGAAACUGUCAUUCUUGAGUGCAGAAGAGGAGAGUGGAACUCCAUGUGUAGCGGUGGAAUGCGUAGAUAUAUGGAAGAACACCAGUGGCGAAGGCGGCUCUCUGGUCUGCAACUGACGCUGAGGCUCGAAAGCAUGGGUAGCGAACAGGAUUAGAUACCCUGGUAGUCCAUGCCGUAAACGAUGAGCGCUAGGUGUUGGGGGACUUUCCGGUCCUCAGUGCCGCAGCAAACGCAUUAAGCGCUC
Molecule: ribosomal RNA, 805 nt
Filed under: Lactobacillus delbrueckii subsp. lactis
Lineage: Bacteria; Bacillati; Bacillota; Bacilli; Lactobacillales; Lactobacillaceae
Description: bacterial SSU rRNA
Rfam family: Bacterial small subunit ribosomal RNA
Source: RNAcentral